AUUGAACGCUGGCGGCAGGCCUAACACAUGCAAGUCGAGCGGAUGAAGGGAGCUUGCUCCUGGAUUCAGCGGCGGACGGGUGAGUAAUGCCUAGGAAUCUGCCUGGUAGUGGGGGAUAACGUCCGGAAACGGGCGCUAAUACCGCAUACGUCCUGAGGGAGAAAGUGGGGGAUCUUCGGACCUCACGCUAUCAGAUGAGCCUAGGUCGGAUUAGCUAGUUGGUGGGGUAAAGGCCUACCAAGGCGACGAUCCGUAACUGGUCUGAGAGGAUGAUCAGUCAAACUGGACCUGGGAAACGGUCCGGACCCCAACGGAGGGCAGAGGUGGGAAUAUUGGACAAUGGGCGAAAGCCUGAUCCAGCCAUGCCGCGUGUGUGAAGAAGGUCUUCGGAUUGUAAAGCACUUUAAGUUGGGAGGAAGGGCAGUAAGUUAAUACCUUGCUGUUUUGACGUUACCAACAGAAUAAGCACCGGCUAACUUCGUG
This 483-nucleotide ribosomal RNA is filed under the name uncultured bacterium. RNAcentral describes it as "partial 16S ribosomal RNA". It matches the Rfam family "Bacterial small subunit ribosomal RNA", at positions 30 to 507 of the family's 1533-position model. The record is from RNAcentral.